UGCAGGCUGCUGUUUAUCAGUGGCGGCUGCUGCUGCUAUCAGUAACACAGCUCAUCAUUCACUGCCACAUUGUUCCAACAAACAAUGGGCCCGUGUUCGCAGUGUGCACUACAGAAAUCUGAUUUACUGAUCAAUGGCCUUGAUGGUUUUGUCUUCCACACAAUGAGCCGUGAUGAGACUGUGACAAGCUGAAGGUGGAACAAUGGCAGCCAGGAGUUUUCUACUUCACCUGCAUUCUUUCUUGUUUUCAUUUGGCCUCAUAUGCAAAAAUAAGUUUGUCUCCAACUGUCGCUGUGAACACAGUUUUCUGAGCAAACUUGGCUUGAACUUCGAUCCAGUGAAGCGCUCUCCGUUGGUUGAGUGGCAGCAGUUGGAUCCUCACAUGGCUGUUUGUCAUUCUCUGCAGGUUAAACCCCCGCUGGGCACAGAACACGGCUUCUGGGCCACGCGUCCACGCGAAGGAUUUGUUGUCUGUGCUGCACAGACACCACAGAAGAAGAGUUUUCCGUCCGUCUUUCCGUCCGUCCGUUCGUCCGUCUGUCCGUCGUUCCGUCCGUCCGUCCGUCCGUCUUUUCGUCCGUCGUUCUGUCCGUCCGUCCAUCCGUCCGUCUGUCCGUCGUUCUGUCCGUCUGUCCAUCGUUCUGUCCGUCUUUCCGUCCGUCUCUUCGUCCGUCUGUCCGUCGUUCUGUCCAUCUGUCCGUCCGUCCGUCUUUCCGUCCGUCCUCAUGCCUGUCACGCCUCAGCGCCGCUCUCUGAAUGGAUGCCGCUCGCUCCGCAGACUCGUGGAUCCUUCAUCAGUCACACACGCUUGUGUUUUUCCAGGAGGAGGAGGAAGAGACGGAUGCCACCUGGGUUCCCGCUCACCGUUCGUGAGGCGUUCAGGGGCCGGUGCUUUCUGUUCAGAUCAGAACUCUUCCUUCAAGAAACCCACGAAUCGAUGGACAGUGAAGGAGGAUUAAGAGAAUUCAACCAGAAAAAAGGAAGCGUGUGUGAAAUAAUGACAACGGCUGCAGCUGCAACCUGACACACAACGAGCGCAGCAAAUAUCGCAACGUGUUCUAUCAGCCACAUAAAAGAGAC
This 1080-nucleotide long non-coding RNA is filed under the name Betta splendens (Siamese fighting fish). RNAcentral describes it as "lncRNA (ENSBSLG00000018893.1)". Lineage: Eukaryota; Metazoa; Chordata; Actinopteri; Anabantiformes; Osphronemidae. The record is from RNAcentral.